Molecule: ribosomal RNA, 253 nt
Filed under: uncultured bacterium
Lineage: Bacteria
Description: partial 16S ribosomal RNA
Rfam family: Bacterial small subunit ribosomal RNA
Source: RNAcentral
UACGGAGGGUGCAAGCGUUGCCCGGAAUCACUGGGCGUAAAGGGCGCGUAGGCGGCUCAUGAAGGCUGUGGUGAAAGCCCGGGGCUCAACCCCGGGUCGGCCGUGGCAACUGCUGGGCUGGAGCACAGUAGAGGCGGGUGGAAUUCCGGGUGUAGCGGUGGAAUGCGUAGAGAUCCGGAAGAACACCGGUGGCGAAGGCGGCCCGCUGGGCUGUUGCUGACGCUGAGGCGCGACAGCGUGGGGAGCAAACAGG